This 100-nucleotide small nuclear RNA is filed under the name Moschus moschiferus (Siberian musk deer). RNAcentral's name for it is "U2 spliceosomal RNA (ENSMMSG00000022986.1)". It matches the Rfam family "U2 spliceosomal RNA". Rfam says of the family: U2 is a small nuclear RNA (snRNA) component of the spliceosome (involved in pre-mRNA splicing). Complementary binding between U2 snRNA (in an area lying towards the 5' end but 3' to hairpin I) and the branchpoint sequence (BPS) of the intron results the bulging out of an unpaired adenosine, on the BPS, which initiates a nucleophilic attack at the intronic 5' splice site, thus starting the first of two transesterification reactions that mediate splicing. Lineage: Eukaryota; Metazoa; Chordata; Mammalia; Artiodactyla; Moschidae. The record is from RNAcentral.
AUCGCUUCUCGGCCUUUUGGCUAAGAUCAAGUGUAAAAAAGUUAAAAAAAGUGAGACAUGUUUAUUAUUAUUUUUUGUUAGGGAAAAGGGCAGAAUCCUA